AACCCUAGAAGAACCCCAUGGCUGCCAUUCUUCUUCCUAAAAGAAACAAAACACAACCCUAGAGAAGCCAUUAUCCAUCGCCGCCUGCCAGCUUUCCACCAGGCGGCGCCUUCAAGCACCACGGAUUUCGAAACUCCAUCUCCACGCAUCAUCAUGAAGAUAGUAGUCGAACCGCCAAUCAUCUUCUCCAUAACGCACAGUUGUCGCUGCGAAAUAACCAUCCUCCAUAGCCGCUAAACUUCAAGAACAAACCCCUGAACCCCAUGAACCCCACCAGCCACCUCCCCUCCUAUCGGCGCUGCACAUAGAACAACAGCUCGGAGCGGCAAACAUCCCAUCAAACAAACGACCCUUUCUUCUUCAUCUUCAACCAGCCAUUAAUACCACGUACUAAGAAGCUCCAAAACCUUAUCAAAUACACUCCAAUACAGUUGCAAAAAUCUACCCGAAACAACACCUGAAUACACAAGUUUGUUCGAGCUCGAGUUCAUCUCUGGUGGUCGGUUCUGGUCGAGAGUCGUCUAUGUAAUUUCAACUCAGUUUAUUUACACCAAAGGUUACAUUCCGUCCAUUCCUUCCUUAUUUUAUCUACAAAGUUCUCUUUUCUAAUUGACAAGAUUCUUAGUGUUGUUAGUUGCAUACUGAUUCACUUAAUAUGUUAGUUGCAUACUGAUUCGCUUGAUACACUGUUUCGCAUACUGGUUUGCCCUAUGUGUUGCUUGGGUGCUAAUGUUAUAGUGGUUAUUCCAAUUCUCUUUUGCAAUAUUUCGUUAGAUAGUGCUGUUUGGAUUUUAUUUGUUAAUUUGGAGUUUCUAAUCUAAAAGAACAAAAACACAUUUUGAACUUGUUAAGGAAAACUUUUCAUGGAAUGGAAUUGAAAAGGUUAUAACAAUUUAAGCGUUGGAUUAUUUUUUUAGUUCUUUAUUUCGCUAUAGCCAUUUGAUCGCUAGGAGCAUGCUAGGUUGUCGACACUUAGGUAGGAAAUCUUUAGGUUUCUGGAUUAGUUUGAGGCAAGAGAUCGUUCCCUUAGUUAAAUUUAUGCGGAAAAUGCCCCGAUGGAUUCGUAUAUAUUUUAUUUCAGGGGUACGCCUCGAAGUGAAUAUAAUUGGAGGUCGUGGCUAACAUCGUAGAAGAAGUAGCUUAGGAUAAUAUAGAAAUUAAAUUUUCUUUCUUUUAAUUUUCUUUAAUUUAGGUGGGGAUGACCUCGAGCCUCUUUUUGUUUGUUUUUCUUUUCUGUGUUAUUACCUCAAUUGAAUAAUUUAAAAGCCAACUAGAUCAAGUAUGUAACUAUACUAGUUACGGCCUUGGGGAGUGUCUAACACCCUGUCCCCGAGUCAAAUGAACCCAUUACCCAAAUCUCUGGUGUUGACUUAGUUUUAGAGUUCAAAGUGUUUUGAAAGGAAAAUUAUUAUUUUUAGAAAAAGCGGUGACCUGACACACCGAAAUCAAAUGUUAGGUGGCGACUUUGAGUUAUUUCCUUUUGAAAAUAAUUUUGUACUUUUCAACUGAAAACCCUUUUCAAGCUUUAUUAAAUCUUUUUAUUAAUUUAAGAGGGUUAAGUGAGGUUUUGUAAAAAAAGGGUGUGACAAGCCCCUCAACAAAGUCUAAGCUGAUAUCUUGCCAUACCUUUUCAGGAAUGGGUAGGGGUUGUAAUAGGCCUGGGGACUUCACAUUCCCACCCUUACACAUUUGGCAAGUAUCACAGCUCCUAAUGUGUUCAUAAAAUCCUAUUUUCAUCUUCUUCCAGUAAUAAACUUGACCAACACUAUGCAAAGUGGCAGCCAUUCCUGAGUGACCUCCAACAGCACUGUCAUGAAAGAAAUACAAAAUAUCAUCUCUGAAAAGCUUGUCAGGGCCAACCAUUAUUUUACCUUUCAUGUAAAUGAUGUCAUCCUUUAGCCAGUAUAUAGGAUUGGCUAAUGCAUUUUGACUAAGCUAAGAUGCCAACUGUUGUAGAUGUUGAUCUCCCGAGUAAGAGGAUAUCACUCUUGCAAGGAAGUCUGAAGACACAGUAGAAAUAGUUAAGAGAUGAAUGUUGUUCAUAGGAAACCUUAACAAAGCAUUUGUUGUUACAUUCUCCUUCCCUUUCUUGUACAUGAUGUUGUAGUCAUAACCCAUAAGUUUAUUAACCUAUUUCUGCUGGCUAGGAGUAGAUACCCUCUUUUCUAGAAGAUACUUGAGGCUCUAGUGGUCUUUCUUAAUAAGAAAAUGCCUGCCAAUGAGAUAUGGUCUCCAUUUAUCAUCACAAUGGCCAUCAUCUCCUUUUCAUACACUGAGCGGUGUUGAUGCUUAGAAUGCAAAGCCUUGUUAAAAUAAGCUAGAGGAUGACCCCCUUGCAUCAAUACAUCCCUUAUUCCAUGCCCACAUGCAUCAAUUUCAAUAAUGAACUCUUAGG
RNAcentral lists this long non-coding RNA (2395 nucleotides) under Nicotiana benthamiana. RNAcentral describes it as "long non-coding RNA (NBEN_LNC023993)". The record is from RNAcentral. Lineage: Eukaryota; Viridiplantae; Streptophyta; Magnoliopsida; Solanales; Solanaceae.